Salvelinus namaycush (lake trout) is the source of this 1151-nucleotide long non-coding RNA. RefSeq lists it as uncharacterized. The transcript has 5 exons. NCBI's taxonomy places the organism in Eukaryota, Metazoa, Chordata, Actinopteri, Salmoniformes, Salmonidae. The record is from RefSeq and is a predicted model, not a curated record.
UCUGACUUGCGCAAGGUUUGAUCUGUAAUGCACUGAUACUCACCUAUGUCGACUGAAACGAAACAAAAUAUCUAUGUUGUAUUAAUUGUACCUUAGCUUUUACAAAUGAUUCAUCCACACUGAAUUAUGGAAGACCAAACAACUCCUGUUCGUGAACAGCACAUGUUCAACAUUGUCAAUCUUCAGCGACAAUGUUGGAAAGACAUAAGGAGUGUCCAACAAUGACAAGCUCACUGUCAGACAAUGCAGGUGUACCCACUCCUGAGGAGCUGAUCUCCAUCUACUGCCGGGGGAUGCCAUCCUCUGCCUCAGCUCAACUUCUACCUGGCCCUCUCUGUCUUUAAGAUGGCAGGGAUCGCUCAGGGCAUCUAUGUCCGCCACCUCCUGGGCAAUGCCAGUGCUCCGAAUGCUGCCCAGUUUGGCCAGAGUGUGGAGCCGUUGGCCCAGGUUGGGAUGCAGAUUGCAGAAAGUUGGUAAGGACAUGCCUAGAGAGAGAACUCCAUCAUGACUCUGCUGUUCCUUAUUCAGACUGACUCAUUGUGCUGACCCUGCCAGGAAAUACCAGAAACUCUGUUUGGGUUCAAUGUGAGGAGGUGGUGGCCCACUGGAAAGCAGAGUGUGGCCUGGCCAUAGACUAGACUCUCCUGCUGACCCUGCAUUCUGCUCACACCCUGGAUACGCUGGGCAGCAGGACCGCCGGGAAACAGCUAACACACACCUAAUUAGCAGAACAAACCGUGUAAUUGUCUCCCAAAUUGUCUCCCAAACUGUUACGUGACAGUACUAAAUAGACUGGUAUAUAUAUACUGGUGCCCCGUGUAUAUAGACAAGAUUCAUUAUGUAUUAUUACUUUUAUUAUUACAUUUUGUACUUUUCUAUUAUUUCUCUAUUUUCUUUCUCUCUGUAUUGUUGGGAAGGGCCCGUAACUAAGCAUUUCACUGUUAGUCUACACCUGUUGUUUACGAAGCAUGUGACGAAUCAAUUUUUUAUUUCAUUGAUUUGAUACUAAAUGUAAUAUCGCCUAAAGACUGUGCCUGUUUGAAACAGACCCCCUCGGUAUGUAAAUGUGUGUCUGAAACCGUCAGAAAAUGUCAAUGAAUUGUGAAUAUGAAUUACAGCCUUCUGCUUCCUGCUUGGAAAGGUCAGUCUGA